CGCCCCCAAAAUCUGGUGCUGCAUCGCGCGUCCACAGCUCCCCCCCUCAUGCGCCCACGAGAACCACAUUCUCACCCCUACCUCUGCUCCACAUGCUUCCUCGAUCACCUAUUCAUGCCAUCCAUUAGCGAAGAUCUACAGUCUUGCUUCACGCCGCUUCUCUGAGUACCGAAUUGUGGCUUGUUGUCGGGGUGCCUUUUCUAACUUACACAUCUUGGGUAGAGAUAGCCGAAGCAACCACCCGCACCUUGGCGACAUAAGUCUUGACACUCUAGCAUCCAAGAUAAUCUCUGGCGACUUAAUUUGGUGGUGCGGAAGAGGGAUAGAGAAAAGGCUAUAUAUAUGGAGAAAUUGGGAUGAUCUUUAGUAUGACGAUGAGUGCUCUACAAGAUCUGACUGUCUCAACGGAUGCUUGUGCCAUAUUUCUACGAUUAGAUUGUAUCAGUGGGCUACAGUAUGCUUAUUAUGGAUUCUGAGGAAGCUGGUUCAAAGAAGGAAAGGAAUGAGGAAUAUUCCAUAAACUGUCUCCCAAGAGAGCUCAUCGAGCGGAUAUUUUUUCGGCUUCUGGUGAGCACUUUAUUGGUGUGUGUUGGUGUUUGUACGCGCUGGAAAAACUUGAUCCCAAUUUUGGGAUCCCAAUUUUGUCACAUCACACCUGAAGCAUGCAUCCCAUUAUUCCCUCAUAUUCUUCCAACAAGAUUAUGUUGCAGGAAAACAUUACCCGAGUGAUGCUAUUCUAAUUGAUAAAGCUUGGUCACAAUCAACAUAUGCAGUGCCAACCAUUGACCCUGAUGAUUUCCUGUGUGGUUCAUGUAAUGGGAUUAUUUGCUUAUACACAAAGACAUCAACAAUCAAGAUAGCUAACCUUGCAACUGGCGAAUGUCUGCAUCUUGAGAAACCUAUAAAGAAUUUGAGUGGCGACCAAUUCUUGUUCUAUAGUUUUGGGUUUCACCCUUUGACAAGAGAAUACAAAAUUACACACUUGGGUGACUAUGUUGAGGGCCGUCCCGAGAAUGGAGACAAAUUCACCAUCAUUCAAGUUUACAGGCUUGGUGAUGAGAAAUGGAAAGACAUCAGAACCCCAGAAGCCUUAAGCUUGAGUUGCGUCAAAAACUCUGGACUAAUCAAUGUUGGCGGAACAAUGUAUUGGUUAACUAAUGAUAUGGCAACUAACUGGAAGCAUGUUGUUAUGUGCUUUGAUCUCGGCGAAGAAGCUUUUGCACGGAUAGAACUGCCAACAUCCGUACUUGAAAAUAGUGUUUAUGGUGGUCCCCGUAGGUACAGGAUGAGAGAGAUAGAUGGGAAAAUAUGUAUAGCAACCGCUCAAACCUGGCACAAAGUUAUUUAUGGUAAGCUGCAGAUCUGGACACUUGACAACAAGGUCGAGCAAAGUUGGAGCCAGAAGUACAAUAUGUUG
Molecule: long non-coding RNA, 1417 nt
Organism: Triticum aestivum (bread wheat)
Lineage: Eukaryota; Viridiplantae; Streptophyta; Magnoliopsida; Poales; Poaceae
Exons: 3
Source: RefSeq, a predicted model, not a curated record